RNAcentral lists this ribosomal RNA (460 nucleotides) under uncultured bacterium. Its description in RNAcentral is "partial 16S ribosomal RNA". It matches the Rfam family "Bacterial small subunit ribosomal RNA", at positions 338 to 795 of the family's 1533-position model. The record is from RNAcentral.
CCUACGGGGUGCAGCAGUGAGGAAUAUUGGUCAAUGGGCGCGAGCCUGAACCAGCCAAGUAGCGUGAAGGAUGACUGCCCUACGGGUUGUAAACUUCUUUUAUCAAGGAAUAAAGUGAGGCACGUGUGCCUUUUUGUAUGUACUUUAUGAAUAAGGAUCGGCUAACUCCGUGCCAGCAGCCGCGGUAAUACGGAGGAUCCGAGCGUUUACCGGAUUUAUUGGGGUUAAAGGGAGGGGAGAUGGGUUGGUAAGUCAGUUGUGAAAGUUUUGGGGGUAAACCGUAAAUUGCAAUUGAUACUGGUAGUCUUGAGUACAGUUGAGGUAGGCGGAAUUCGUGGUGUAGCGGUGAAAUGCUUAGAUAUCACGAAGAACUCCGAUUGCGAAGGCAGCUUACUAAACUGCCACUGACAUUGAUGCUCGAAAGUGUGGGUAUCAAACAGGAUUAGAUACCCGAGUAGUC